CUGACCCUGUGGCUCAUCGUGCCGAGGGGGUGUAACAAGGAAAGGUGCAUGUCACUUAAAUCUGCUUGCCUUCCGCCAACACUUCAGAAUGGGCGUUACAAAUUCAAACCGAGCAUUUGCAACGAAAUUUUCCCUCUCUCACGAAAUCAUUGCAAUGUUCUUCAAAAUGUAAUUCUGAACCACAUAUCUUCAUCAACUCAGAACACAAUUCAUACUGCACGGGCUUCGUUAAACUCCUAAUCCACAUUGCAAGGGAAGCUGAAGAGCGACUUAACCAGCAAAUAAAUGCAAAGUGCUACCUCGUGACCUAAUAUUGAAAGUAAAAGUAUCCAACAUAAUACCAAGAGCAUGAGGAGGACGAAAGCUAAAGCUACCACACAACAUAUGUAUUCAGCAAGGACGUUUCGGUCGCAAUAAUAUUUCGACACGAAAUUACCCGAGUAAAACAACACUAAACUUCAACAUCGCAUUUAUAACGGUUCGUUGAAAGGGAAAUACGUACACCCGUUUUUCAUUCAAUGCCUUCGUUCCCCCCAGAGCUACCAGAUUCAAUUUCACGAAAAACUAAACUCACUUGACUGACGAACUCUCACCAGAAAACGAAAAUAUUUUCCGAAAUUUUAAUUGGACAGUGUUCUCUAUUGCUAUCUUGUUAGUGCACCUUUCCUUGGCCAAACAGGGUCCAACGUUUAUAAAAAUGUAUUUGUGAAGCACACGUUUUUAAUUUUUAAUUUUGCAUUUCACUUUUUCCAGACUGUCUAAUCCUAUGCAGACACCAGUUACGAGUUAGAUGCUGAUUAGAAGUUGAUUCAAGAGCUAGUACUGGAACAGGAUUGAAGAGAAUAAUAUCUCUGGUCUUCGACAGAAACAGUCCUGCCGUUAAGAUGUAAGCCUACAGCCCGGGGAUUGUAACCAGUGCAGCUGACGAAACCCCAACAACAAACAAAAACAAAGCAUUAUGAAAAACCAUACAAUUGUUAUAAAGGUUUCGAUUUUGCAUCACUGCAGAAAAAUAUGCACAACUUAAGGAAUAAAAUCUACCUUUACGUGUAUCGUGCUGACUCCUCACAGAUAUCAAUAAACUCUGACACUGCUGUGUACUACA
Molecule: long non-coding RNA, 1105 nt
Organism: Cryptotermes secundus
Lineage: Eukaryota; Metazoa; Arthropoda; Insecta; Blattodea; Kalotermitidae
Exons: 2
Source: RefSeq, a predicted model, not a curated record